UUUUUUACCUUUGCACAUUUCCGAUUGGUCUUCCUGAGGAUGCUGAGUCUCUCCCUCUGCUCCAGCAAGUAUCCUGUCCUCCUUCUUCUCCUCCUGACUCUCUAACUGUCCUUUGUCCUUUUGGUCAUCCUUUUCUUUCUCUUUGUUGGAUUUGACACUCUCACUGUCAUUGCUAUCUGCCCCCUUUCCAGGAGCCAAAGUGAGCUCGUCAGAUUCUGUUGCGCCAUUGGUUUUGUAUGUCUCUGUGUCUUGGCUUUGACCCUCUUUUCUUUCACCCUCCUCUCUCUUUGUGUUGCUUUGGGUUGUUUUAUCUUUCUCAACGUUGUUGUCUGUAUUGUCUUUGUCAACCAUGUCUUUCUUCAUGUUUGGUUUCCCACUCUUAUCAUCAUCACAUUCACUUCUUAUCACAUUUCUUCCUGUUCUCUCAUCACUCUCAAUAUCUGUAUUUUCUUCAACCUCCUCCUCCUCAUCCGUUUCCUUUAUUUCUUCACUAAUGUCCUCAGUGUCACCGUCGAUUAUUUCCUCAAUCUCGCUGUAGUCACUCUCUGACCAGUCCAUAUCACCUGCCAGGUCAUUUUGAACUUUGACUUCUGAUGGUUGAUUAUUCUGACAGUAAUUUGUAGCUACCUUCUCCUCAACAAGCAUAUUUUUAUGUCCAUCCUUUUGUUUCAUCUCAGUGAAAUCAUCAUCAUCAUCAUCACUACUGUUACCUUUUUCCUCGGUCAGGAGUGCUUCCAUCGUUUCAUUCUUCUCUUUGUCUGUCUUCUUUUGGUGUGUUUUGGCACUUUUACUGUCAUCACCAUCUGAACAUUCUGCAUCACUUCUGUAUUUCUUCCCAUCACUCUUGGAGUCAUCAUCCUGGUCGCCAUCCCUCUCUUCAUGCUUUGGGUUGAUUUCCUCGAUCACAGAUGUGUCACUAUCUUGCCGCACACCUACACUGUUGUCUUUCUUCUCAUCUGCACUGUUUUCCUUCUCAACCUUUUUGGUUGUUUUGACAAUUGCAGUAUCACUGUCUGGUGUUUCCUCAUUUUUGCUAUCGUCAGUCUUCGGACAUUCAUCACUUCCAAAGUGAAAUUCCCACACAUCCAAGGCUGUCUUUUUUAGCUCUUUCAUCCUCGCUGUGUCUUCCACCCUCUUUCUUUCCUCAUUCUCCUCCUCCAUCAUUGUAUUCGCUGCAUGCUGUUUUUCCAUCUUUAUCAUCCUCUCCUCCAACUCUCUCAAUUUUCCAAACAUUUCAUUCUUCAUGUCUUCCAGUUUCCUCAUUUUCAUUUCCUCCUCAUGCUUUCUUUCCUCUUCUUUAAUCUGACUCUCAAGUUCUCUCUUCCUCUCCUCCAACUCCCUCAUUUUUCCAAACAUUUCAUUCUUCAUGUCUUCCAGUUUCCUCAUUUUCAUUUCCUCCUCGUGCUUUCUUUUCUCUUCUCUAAUCUGACUCUCAAAUUCUCUUUUCUUCUCCUCCUCCCUCUCCUCCAGCUCUCUCAUUUGUUUCUCCAUGUGUGUCAUAUUUUCUUCUGCAAUCUGUCUCUGCCUCUUUUCUUUCAUUAGGUCCUCUUCCAGUUUCCUCAUUUUCAUUUCCUCCUCGUGCUUUCUUUCCUCUUCUCUUUUUCUCAUCUCUUCUCUAAUCUGACACUCAAGUUCUCUCUUCCUCUCCCCCUCCCUCUCCAUCAUUUGUUUCUCCAUGUGUGUCAAAUUUUCUUCUGCAAUCUGUCUCCACCUCUUUUCUUUCAGGAGCUCUCUCCUGUCUCUUUCCCUUGCUUCCUCCACACACUUUUCUCCCAUAUUAUUUUCAUCUUCCUUUCUCUCUUCCAGGUCUCUUCUCUUUCCAUCACUCAGUGUCUCUGUUAGUCUGGCUUGCUUUUUCAGCAUCUGUUGUUCUUCUCCCAUCUUUCUCUUUCCUUCUUCCACCAUUCUCUUUGCCUUCCUUUCUGCUUUCAUCCCUCCCUCUUCCUUUCGGAUGUCUUCUUCCUUCCAGUAAAACUCUUCCCAUUCCUCCAUUCUCUUAUUUUCAGAUAUCUCCCACUCAUCUCUCUCCUUCUGUCUCUUCUUCUGGAGCUCCAUCCGUUUCUCUACCUUCUGCCUCUCAGAUGUCUUCUUGAACCUCCUCCUUUCCUCCUCCAUCUCUCUCUCCCUUUCUCUCAUUCUAAUAUCCAUUAACAGCAACUCUUCAUCCUUCAUCUGAUUUAUUUUUGCAAGCUCCUUCUUCUCCUCCAUCUUCAUCCUCUCAAGUCUGUCCCUCUCCACCUCCUUCAACACCUUCUCUCUAUUAAUCUCCAGAUACUGGUAAUCCUGCUGUUGUCUCUCUUCUCCAUACAUCUCCAUCUUCUGUCUCUCUAUCCGUCUCGUCUCCUCCAUACAGGCCCAUUGCUUUAGCAGGCCCACCUCCUUCCUUAGCAGGCCCACCUCAACAUGCCAGUCGCUCUGACCAAUACUGUGCACUUCCAUAACAAAUGAGCUCUAAAAGAGAGUUCGUAAAUGUUAGCAUCCUACAGGAUGCUGCUAAAGAAAACAAAUCCUUAAACAACCUAAAGACGGCAUCGGCAUCAAAAGGCAUCAAGUAAAUCACUUUUAAUAGUUCCAUCUUUCUUUUUUACCCAAUUGCCAAAGAUGAAUUUGACCUUAAUGUACAGUAUAUUCCAAAUUGACAGAAAUGUUAUUAUUGUGAAAAUUACUGACAAUUUCCCUGAAGAUUGUCAAUUGGAAGUUUAUUUUACUUCUGUGUCCUUGUGCAAACUUCUAAAACCCUUCUGUAAACUACUCUCAUAUAAAUAGAAUGUCUAGAAUGGAAAUAGCCCCUCAGGCCCCGGCAAUUUGACUACACCUUCUCACGGUUACACUCAAAAUGGCUAGCUUGGCAUUGUUAUACACAAUUGCCAUGGCCAUGGCAAGGACUUUUCAUUGAAAUGUGUGUAAUGUCAGUUGACAUUAAAUGAGCACAAUACAAUCCUGUACUUCUUGGUUAAUGGAGGACACUUCUUCCUGCUUUGCUAAGGGUGCACCCAUCAGCACGGCAUUGAAUUGAAUAGGGAUGUCCUUUCUAGCUGGCUACAUUACAACGGCUUGAUUUGUUUGAUCUGAGCAAUUCUUCUUAGCUAGCUACAUAGCCGUCUUUGUAUCAAAGAUAAUUGUGUAGUUUAGAGUAACUGAGUAAUUAUCGAGGCUAGCUAUCUUCGUCCUCCUAACGUAGUCAACACUGCUAGCUGCUAGCUAGCUAGUCAUCACUGUUAGCUAGCCAACUUCUACCGACUAGCAGCACCGCAGAAAC
Molecule: long non-coding RNA, 3259 nt
Filed under: Salmo salar (Atlantic salmon)
Lineage: Eukaryota; Metazoa; Chordata; Actinopteri; Salmoniformes; Salmonidae
Description: lncRNA (ENSSSAG00000121473.1)
Source: RNAcentral